AUUGAACGCCGGCGGCAGGCCUAACACAUGCCAGUCGAGCGGAUGAAGGGAGCUUGCUCCUGGAUUCAGCGGCGGACGGGUGAGUAAUGCCUAGGAAUCUGCCUGGUAGUGGGGGAUAACGUCCGGAAACGGGCGCUAAUACCGCAUACGUCCUGAGGGAGAAAGUGGGGGAUCUUCGGACCUCACGCUAUCAGAUGAGCCUAGGUCGGAUUAGCUAGUUGGUGGGGUAAAGGCCUACCAAGGCGACGAUCCGUAACUGGUCUGAGAGGAUGAUCAGUCACACUGGAACUGAGACACGGUCCAGACUCCUACGGGAGGCAGCAGUGGGGAAUAUAGGACAAUGGGCGAAAGCCUGAUCCAGCCAUGCCGCGUGUGUGAAGAAGGUCUUCGGAUUGUAAAGCACUUUAAGUUGGGAGGAAGGGCAGUAAGUUAAUACCUUGCUGUUUUGACGCUACCAACAGAAUAAGCACCGGCUAACUUCGUG
Molecule: ribosomal RNA, 484 nt
Filed under: uncultured bacterium
Lineage: Bacteria
Description: partial 16S ribosomal RNA
Rfam family: Bacterial small subunit ribosomal RNA
Source: RNAcentral